GUCCCUCUAGCUCAGUUGGUAGAGCAACGUCCUUUUAAGUCGUGGGUCGUCGGUUCGAGCCCGACGGGGGACACCU
This 76-nucleotide transfer RNA is filed under the name Herbiconiux sp. RNAcentral's name for it is "tRNA-Lys". It matches the Rfam family "tRNA". From Rfam's summary of the family: Transfer RNA (tRNA) molecules are approximately 80 nucleotides in length. The record is from RNAcentral. Lineage: Bacteria; Bacillati; Actinomycetota; Actinomycetes; Micrococcales; Microbacteriaceae.